Ceratotherium simum simum (southern white rhinoceros) is the source of this 83-nucleotide non-coding RNA. Lineage: Eukaryota; Metazoa; Chordata; Mammalia; Perissodactyla; Rhinocerotidae. The record is from RefSeq and is a predicted model, not a curated record.
AGAGAGAGAGACUACAUUCACCUAACUUUUAUUAAAGUGUAUUGUUAUAAUUCUUCUAUUUUAUUAUUAGUUACUGUUGCUAA